UCCCUGGUGGUCUAGUGGCCAAGACUUUGCACUGUCAAUACAGGGGGCCCAGGUUCAAUCUCUGGUCAGGGAA
Molecule: non-coding RNA, 73 nt
Organism: Dama dama (fallow deer)
Lineage: Eukaryota; Metazoa; Chordata; Mammalia; Artiodactyla; Cervidae
Source: the annotation of a RefSeq genome assembly